AGCGUACACGGUGGAUGCCCUGGCAGUCAGAGGCGAUGAAGGGCGUGCUAAUCUGCGAUAAGCGCCGGUAAGGUGAUAUGAACCGUUAUAACCGGCGAUACCCGAAUGGGGAAACCCAGUGUGAUUCGUCACACUAUCAUUAACUGAAUCCAUAGGUUAAUGAGGCGAACCGGGGGAACUGAAACAUCUAAGUACCCCGAGGAAAAGAAAUCAACCGAGAUUCCCCCAGUAGCGGCGAGCGAACGGGGAGGAGCCCAGAGCCUGAAUCAGCAUGUGUGUUAGUGGAAGCGUCUGGAAAGGUGCGCGAUACAGGGUGACAGCCCCGUACACAAAAGCGCAUGUGCUGUGAGCUCGAUGAGUAGGGCGGGACACGUGGUAUCCUGUCUGAAUAUGGGGGGACCAUCCUCCAAGGCUAAAUACUCCUGACUGACCGAUAGUGAACCAGUACCGUGAGGGAAAGGCGAAAAGAACCCCGGCGAGGGGAGUGAAAAAGAACCUGAAACCGUGUACGUACAAGCAGUGGGAGCACAGGUUUACCUGUGUGACUGCGUACCUUUUGUAUAAUGGGUCAGCGACUUAUAUUCUGUAGCAAGGUUAACCGUAUAGGGGAGCCGGAGGGAAACCGAGUCUUAACCGGGCGUUAAGUUGCAGGGUAUAGACCCGAAACCCGGUGAUCUAGCCAUGGGCAGGUUGAAGGUUGGGUAACACUAACUGGAGGACCGAACCGACUAAUGUUGAAAAAUUAGCGGAUGACCUGUGGCUGGGGGUGAAAGGCCAAUCAAACCGGGAGAUAGCUGGUUCUCCCCGAAAGCUAUUUAGGUAGCGCCUCGUGAAUUCAUCUCCGGGGGUAGAGCACUGUUUCGGCUAGGGGGCCAUCCCGGCUUACCAACCCGAUGCAAACUGCGAAUACCGGAGAAUGUUAUCACGGGAGACACACGGCGGGUGCUAACGUCCGUCGUGAAGAGGGAAACAACCCAGACCGCCAGCUAAGGUCCCAAAGUCAUGGUUAAGUGGGAAACGAUGUGGGAAGGCCCAGACAGCCAGGAUGUUGGCUUAGAAGCAGCCAUCAUUUAAAGAAAGCGUAAUAGCUCACUGGUCGAGUCGGCCUGCGCGGAAGAUGUAACGGGGCUAAACCAUGCACCGAAGCUGCGGCAGCGAACGUAUCACCCAAGACAACUUUACGGAGUUGACGAUUGACGGAGCGAAGCGACGUCAAAGCGUUCAUUAAAGUCGAGUUGGCUUAGGGAUACGUUCGUUGGGUAGGGGAGCGUUCUGUAAGCCUGUGAAGGUGUGUCGUGAGGCAUGCUGGAGGUAUCAGAAGUGCGAAUGCUGACAUAAGUAACGAUAAAGCGGGUGAAAAGCCCGCUCGCCGGAAGACCAAGGGUUCCUGUCCAACGUUAAUCGGGGCAGGGUGAGUCGACCCCUAAGGCGAGGCCGAAAGGCGUAGUCGAUGGGAAACGGGUUAAUAUUCCCGUACUUGGUGUUACUGCGAAGGGGGGACGGAGAAGGCUAUGUUGGCCGGGCGACGGUUGUCCCGGUUUAAGCGUGUAGGUGUGUGUUCCAGGUAAAUCCGGUUCACUUUAACACUGAGGCGUGACGACGAGGCACUACGGUGCUGAAGCAACAAAUGCCCUGCUUCCAGGAAAAGCCUCUAAGCAUCAGGUAACACGAAAUCGUACCCCAAACCGACACAGGUGGUCAGGUAGAGAAUACCAAGGCGCUUGAGAGAACUCGGGUGAAGGAACUAGGCAAAAUGGUGCCGUAACUUCGGGAGAAGGCACGCUGACACGUAGGUGAAGUGAUUUACUCAUGGAGCUGAAGUCAGUCGAAGAUACCAGCUGGCUGCAACUGUUUAUUAAAAACACAGCACUGUGCAAACACGAAAGUGGACGUAUACGGUGUGACGCCUGCCCGGUGCCGGAAGGUUAAUUGAUGGGGUCAGCGCAAGCGAAGCUCCUGAUCGAAGCCCCGGUAAACGGCGGCCGUAACUAUAACGGUCCUAAGGUAGCGAAAUUCCUUGUCGGGUAAGUUCCGACCUGCACGAAUGGCGUAAUGAUGGCCAGGCUGUCUCCACCCGAGACUCAGUGAAAUUGAACUCGCUGUGAAGAUGCAGUGUACCCGCGGCAAGACGGAAAGACCCCGUGAACCUUUACUAUAGCUUGACACUGAACAUUGAGCCUUGAUGUGUAGGAUAGGUGGGAGGCUUUGAAGUGUGGACGCCAGUCUGCAUGGAGCCGACCUUGAAAUACCACCCUUUAAUGUUUGAUGUUCUAACGUGGACCCGUAAUCCGGGUUGCGGACAGUGUCUGGUGGGUAGUUUGACUGGGGCGGUCUCCUCCUAAAGAGUAACGGAGGAGCACGAAGGUUGGCUAAUCCUGGUCGGACAUCAGGAGGUUAGUGCAAUGGCAUAAGCCAGCUUGACUGCGAGCGUGACGGCGCGAGCAGGUGCGAAAGCAGGUCAUAGUGAUCCGGUGGUUCUGAAUGGAAGGGCCAUCGCUCAACGGAUAAAAGGUACUCCGGGGAUAACAGGCUGAUACCGCCCAAGAGUUCAUAUCGACGGCGGUGUUUGGCACCUCGAUGUCGGCUCAUCACAUCCUGGGGCUGAAGUAGGUCCCAAGGGUAUGGCUGUUCGCCAUUUAAAGUGGUACGCGAGCUGGGUUUAGAACGUCGUGAGACAGUUCGGUCCCUAUCUGCCGUGGGCGCUGGAGAACUGAGGGGGGCUGCUCCUAGUACGAGAGGACCGGAGUGGACGCAUCACUGGUGUUCGGGUUGUCAUGCCAAUGGCACUGCCCGGUAGCUAAAUGCGGAAGAGAUAAGUGCUGAAAGCAUCUAAGCACGAAACUUGCCCCGAGAUGAGUUCU
RNAcentral lists this ribosomal RNA (2861 nucleotides) under Salmonella enterica subsp. enterica serovar Typhimurium var. 5-. RNAcentral's name for it is "bacterial LSU rRNA". It matches the Rfam family "Bacterial large subunit ribosomal RNA". The record is from RNAcentral. Lineage: Bacteria; Pseudomonadati; Pseudomonadota; Gammaproteobacteria; Enterobacterales; Enterobacteriaceae.